AGAGUUUGAUCCUGGCUCAGGAUGAACGCUGGCGGCGUGCCUAACACAUGCAAGUCGAGCGAGAUUUAGUGUAGUGGAGACUUCGGUCAAAGUGAAACUGAUGAAAGCGGCGGACGGGUGAGUAACGCGUGGGCAACCUGCCCCAUACAAAGGGAUAGCCACUGGAAACGGUGAUUAAUACCUUAUAAGUCGGUAGUCUCGCAUGAGACAGCCGACAAAGAUUUAUCGGUAUGGGAUGGGCCCGCGUUUGAUUAGCUAGUUGGUGAGGUAACGGCUCACCAAGGCGACGAUCAAUAGCCGACCUGAGAGGGUGAUCGGCCACACUGGAACUGAGACACGGUCCAGACUCCUACGGGAGGCAGCAGUGGGGAAUAUUGGACAAUGGGGGCAACCCUGAUCCAGCAAUGCCGCGUGUGCGAUGAAGGCCUGAGGGUUGUAAAGCACUUUCGGUAGGGAAGAAAUGCUCAAAGAUAAUACAUUUGAGAGUUGACGUUACCUACAGAAGAAGCACCGGCAAACUCUGUGCCAGCAGCCGCGGUAAUACAGAGGGUGCAAGCGUUAAUCGGAGUUACUGGGCGUAAAGGGCGCGUAGGCUGGUAUUUAAGUCGAUUGUGAAAUCCCUGGGCUUAACCUAGGAAUUGCAGUCGAUACUGAUUACCUUGAGUAUGGUAGAGGAAAGUGGAAUUCUCGGUGUAGUGGUUAAAUACGUAGAUAUCGAGAAGAACACCGGUGGCGAAGGCGACUUUCUGGACCAAUACUGACGCUGAGGCGCGAAAGCGUGGGGAGCAAACAGGAUUAGAUACCCUGGUAGUCC
Molecule: ribosomal RNA, 814 nt
Filed under: uncultured bacterium
Lineage: Bacteria
Description: bacterial SSU rRNA
Rfam family: Bacterial small subunit ribosomal RNA
Source: RNAcentral